Molecule: ribosomal RNA, 563 nt
Filed under: Bacillus subtilis
Lineage: Bacteria; Bacillati; Bacillota; Bacilli; Caryophanales; Bacillaceae
Description: partial 16S ribosomal RNA
Source: RNAcentral
CCCAGGCGGAGUGCUUAAUGCGUUAUGGCAGCACUAGGGGGCGAAAACCCCCUAACACUUAGCACUCAUCGUUUACGGCGUGGACUACCAGGGUAUCUAAUCCUGUUCGCUCCCCACGCUUUCGCUCCUCAGCGUCAGUUACAGACCAGAGAGUCGCCUUCGCCACUGGUGUUCCUCCACAUCUCUACGCAUUUCACCGCUACACGUGGAAUUCCACUCUCCUCUUCUGCACUCAAGUUCCCCAGUUUCCAAUGACCCUCCCCGGUUGAGCCGGGGGCUUUCACAUCAGACUUAAGAAACCGCCUGCGAGCCCUUUACGCCCAAUAAUUCCGGACAACGCUUGCCACCUACGUAUUACCGCGGCUGCUGGCACGUAGUUAGCCGUGGCUUUCUGGUUAGGUACCGUCAAGGUACCGCCCUAUUCUGACUGGUACUUGUUCUUCCCUAACAACAGAGCUUUACGAUCCUNAAACCUUCAUCACUCACGCGGCGUUGCUCCGUCAGACUUUCGUCCAUUGCGGAAGAUUCCCUACUGCUGCCUCCCGUAGGAGUCUGGGCCGUGU